GGGCCGUUAGCUCAGAGGGAGAGCGCUGCCUUCACACGGCAGAGGUCGUUGGUUCAAGUCCAACACGGCCUA
Molecule: transfer RNA, 72 nt
Filed under: Nitrospinota bacterium
Lineage: Bacteria; Pseudomonadati; Nitrospinota
Description: Nitrospinae bacterium tRNA-Val
Rfam family: tRNA
About the family: Transfer RNA (tRNA) molecules are approximately 80 nucleotides in length. Their secondary structure includes four short double-helical elements and three loops (D, anti-codon, and T loops). Further hydrogen bonds mediate the characteristic L-shaped molecular structure. tRNAs have two regions of fundamental functional importance: the anti-codon, which is responsible for specific mRNA codon recognition, and the 3' end, to which the tRNAs corresponding amino acid is attached (by aminoacyl-tRNA synthetases). tRNAs cope with the degeneracy of the genetic code in two manners: having more than one tRNA (with a specific anti-codon) for a particular amino acid; and 'wobble' base-pairing, i.e. permitting non-standard base-pairing at the 3rd anti-codon position.
Source: RNAcentral